AAGACUAGUUGCUGAGACACCCUUUUGUUGGUUUUUGAUGUCAGAAGACAACAGUUAUAAUAUCACGGAUACUUGAAUAAGGCUCUGGUUAGGCUUUAUUUUUUCCUGUUGGAGUUGAACAAUCGCAAGUUCAAACAAAAAUAAAUUGCAAUGGAACUCAUGGAUAUGCUUUGAGAAUUAGAAAAAACAGCGAGUCUCGGUAAAUUUGAAAUACUAUAUAAAAGAUCUAUUCGAUGCUGGGGAAGUGUCUUGAAAAAAAAACAAGUCAUUAUACAGUUUCAAAACAAAUGAAAAGAGAAAUUGGUUUGCAGUGAUAUAGAGUAUUCUCACUCUCUAAUCAUCAGAAUGGCUUUCUCAUUAGCAAAUAAGAAGUCCCGAA
This 379-nucleotide long non-coding RNA is filed under the name Mytilus galloprovincialis (Mediterranean mussel). The record is from RNAcentral. Lineage: Eukaryota; Metazoa; Mollusca; Bivalvia; Mytilida; Mytilidae.